GCCUCCUGGCUCACUGGUAGACAAUUCGCCUUGCACCUGAAAGGUCCCUGGUUCAAUCCCUGGCAUCUCCA
This is a non-coding RNA of Podarcis lilfordi (Lilford's wall lizard), 71 nucleotides long. The record is from the annotation of a GenBank genome assembly. Lineage: Eukaryota; Metazoa; Chordata; Lepidosauria; Squamata; Lacertidae.